AAUGGGAAUAAAUUAAUUAACCCUGGUCGUCAAUGGUGUUGUCCCUGCUGCUGUUGCUGUAGUAGCUGCAAAGCACCUUGCACUUGACCAGGUUGCCAUAGACGUAGAACCCAGGUGCCACCAUGAUCCGAACCACGGUUGGGACCAGCUUUCUGGCUCUGUCUCCGCCCAUAUCCUCCAUGUAAACUGAAUCAAAUCUCACCCCCUUAUCUACCCUGAAUAUUGACAGGCCAGGGUGCAGGGAGUUAGCCAAAAGGUGAACCAACCAGAC
RNAcentral lists this long non-coding RNA (271 nucleotides) under Carica papaya (papaya). RNAcentral's name for it is "long non-coding RNA (CPAP_LNC010342)". Lineage: Eukaryota; Viridiplantae; Streptophyta; Magnoliopsida; Brassicales; Caricaceae. The record is from RNAcentral.